Molecule: small RNA, 116 nt
Filed under: Marmota monax (woodchuck)
Lineage: Eukaryota; Metazoa; Chordata; Mammalia; Rodentia; Sciuridae
Source: RNAcentral
GCCAGGCUUGGUGAUGGUAGUCCUGUAGUCCUAGCAUUGGGAGGCUGAGGUAGGGGGAUUCUUUGAUUCCAGGAGUUUGAGAAUAGCCUGGACAACAUAGAGAGACCAUGUCUCAG